CAUUGAUGGAGAGUUUGAUCCUGGCUCAGGACGAACGCUGGCGGCGUGCUUAACACAUGCAAGUCGAGCGAGGAGCUUGCUCCUAGCGGCGAACGGGUGAGUAACACGUGGGCAACCUGCCCCAAGCUCUGGAAUAACUCCGGGAAACCGGGGCUAAUGCCGGAUAUGACAUCAUCGGGCAUCUGGUGAUGUGGAAAGAUUUAUCG
This is a ribosomal RNA of 206 nucleotides. It matches the Rfam family "Bacterial small subunit ribosomal RNA", at positions 1 to 217 of the family's 1533-position model.